UGACCUAUUGUGUAAUGGUAGCACAGCAGAUUCUGGUCCUGCUAGUCUAGGUUCGAAUCCUAGUAGGUCAA
RNAcentral lists this transfer RNA (71 nucleotides) under Bacteroidales bacterium. Its description in RNAcentral is "tRNA-Gln". It matches the Rfam family "tRNA". Rfam says of the family: Transfer RNA (tRNA) molecules are approximately 80 nucleotides in length. Their secondary structure includes four short double-helical elements and three loops (D, anti-codon, and T loops). RNAcentral also lists the same sequence under 1 other name. Lineage: Bacteria; Pseudomonadati; Bacteroidota; Bacteroidia; Bacteroidales. The record is from RNAcentral.